Long non-coding RNA from Oxyura jamaicensis (ruddy duck), 3249 nucleotides. RefSeq lists it as uncharacterized. The transcript is spliced from 3 exons. Lineage: Eukaryota; Metazoa; Chordata; Aves; Anseriformes; Anatidae. The record is from RefSeq and is a predicted model, not a curated record.
UCCCCGUGUCUCCAUCUCGGCUGCCCACCAAUUUCAUGUGCUGCUGCCUUUUAGGGGCAGUUUCACACCUUCAUGAGACACAGAAAAAGCCAAAGGGCUGGGGGUGGCUCCAGCAGCCCGUCUCGCUGCCGUCUCACCUUCCCCUCGGCUGACGUGUGGCGGUUCCUUGUGGCAUCCAGGGACAGGAACGGUUCUUUCUUGUAUUCUUUCUUGUAUUCCUGUAGCUGCUGAAUAUAUUCAGUGAGCUGAAUGAAUCCCCAUCUGGCAGCAUCUGUCCUGCAACAUUUGCAGCUUCAGCUUCUGUUGUGGAGAGGGAAGGGAAUAGAAGAUAAGAAAGGGAAAUAAUUCACAAGCCCACAGAGGCUUUAACAGUAUCAGCGAGCUGUGAUCUGCGCAAGUGUACAGCUACAGAAAGCACCGGGAGCUUUUUCAUAAGCCAGCUGGAAAGAUUUAAAGCCCUGAUUUCAGGGUGGCAUUUUUAAAAUAAUUAGGUGAUGGAGCCUAGGUCCUGGUUUUAAGUUACCUGUGAGUCUUAAUCUUGCUGCAAUUAAAGGAGGUUUGGGUUCUAGGUGUGUUCUGGGAAUGUGACUUGGAAUAAAGUUACAUCAAUUUUUAUUGCUGCUCAGCCACAAAAUUCUGACAUUUACAGUAAAAUAUUUACUGGGAACAUGGGAUUUGUCCAAGAGCCAAGCUCAUGCAUUGUCAGGCUCAGAAAAUGUGCUGUUACAGGUGAGUGAGGUUUGUGGCCAGUCCCUUUGGGAGAUGGGACUUGCUGCUUUUCCUUUAUUAUAAAGGAGAUUUAUCGCUGCUCACCAGUGGAAAACCUUGCUGGGACAGUGCUCAGGGCUGCACCGAGGGGGCAUUAUUUGAACAGUAUGGCAAAUGGCAAGCACUGACCCAGGACAACUCGCAGGUGAUCCAUUUUCCCACACCGUGCUGGGCCAGUGCUUCUGGGGGACGUCCCCAUCCCUGGGAACCAGCCAGCAGGGAUCGGGGCUGGCAGAGCUGGGAGCAUGGCAGGUGGAGGCCUCUCACCUGGUGGCAGUCAGGUGAGAGGCAGGGUGGAGAAGGGAGGGAGGUCUCUGAGCAGGUUCAGCUAUUAAAUGCAGAGGGCACAACCCAAAAUCAGCAACAGAGGCUGACACCGUAAUGUCAGGCCUAGAUGAGAUGUUCCCACUGGUGUGCCGUGGAUUAGGAGGGGAUGAAGCUUCACCUAGUGGAGAAUUAGGAAAGAGGGGAAAAAAACAGAAUCACCACCCAUUGCUUAGACACAUGCAGCUCUGAAGAGUUUUCCAGUGUUCCUGUUCCCAGGACAAAGUCACUCAAUGGGUGCUGUGUCCCAUGCUAAAGCUUUGCCCUGGGCAUUGUCAAAAUGCCCAACCUGAGCAGCAUCUUUACUUUCAUUUCUUGCCAUCCUCAGCCCUUCUCUUAUCCCUGGUUCCUGCUGCUUUGGCAGCUCAGCGGUGGCGGCUCUUGGGGGGAUGUUCAGAGCAGCACUGACCUAUGUUUGGUGGAAAAGGGUCCUCUCUCCUGGCUACACGGGGAGACCCUGGAAGAAGCAAGGCCGCAAAUCUGACCUAGGAAACUGGGUGACUUGGGAAGUUGUACUAAAUCGUCCUGAUGUGUGAGCUGCUGCUUGGAAGCAGCAUUCCCUCCUGCAGUACGGGAACGGUGGGCUACAGGCAGGAAGCAAAUUGCACAAAACUGCCCUUUUUCCAAGCAAAGUGGGGAUGGCUGAAGAGGAAAGCAACCUCUCCGGGUCACUGUCAUGUGUGCCAACUGUCCUGCAGUAAACUGUAAAACACCCCCUGGACCCAAUGGAGCGGAAAACAUCCGAUCAUGCAGAGGUGGAGGAGAGGCGCUGCAGGAACAAGUGGUGAUGUUACGGAGGGAGUGUGCAGACAGGAGCAGGACGCAGGUGGAGACCAGCUCCACAGUCAAACCAAGUUACACCUGCUGUAUGUGCUGGCCGUGGAGGGGUGAGACCGAGCCUCUCCCUCAGCUGCUCCUGCAGAUGUUGUCCCCAGGCUGGGCUGGACACCCCCAGCCGUGCUCCUCCAGCCCCACCGCUGCUGCCUGGGCGCAGUUGGCUGUCCCAGCAGGCACCCUCCCCAUGCGGGGAUGCUCAGCACAAUUAAUCCUGCCCAGCGUCCAGGGACAUCCCUGUCCCGCUGUGGAGCUUUCCUUUGUAGUGAUUAAAUACAGAAUUACUCAAUUUAAAGUGUCUGCCUACAAAAACAGAAGGCAUGGAAGAACCUCAUGUGUUCCUCGAGGCCCUAGAGGGUUUAGAAGAGCCUAGGAGCAAAUUAGAAAAGUAAUUAUUUUAAUUCACUGGGGAGGUUGUCAUCAUCUGGCUCCAUUUGUGAGCCUGGGAAUUCACACAUUUACCUGGUGAGCAUGAGCCCUUCAUAAGCGCAGGACUGUGGUCAGAAAUUUGUCAAAAGAAGGGGUUGUUGGCUCAGUAAAUGCUGUGUUUGGACAGGAAAGUGUGGUCCUUGGGGAAGCCAAGGCUGGGGGGGGGCAUUGCUGCCCACGUGCUGGGUGAUGCCAUCACAGGGGACAUGAGCACAGCAUGCCUGGUGGGGCAAGCGAGCCACGGAGCCUGGCCAUGCUGUGAUGUCCUCAGAGCAUCACCCCAUGGCUGAUGUGCUCCAGGGCAAUAAGUGCCAAAAAAUAACCCUAGUACCCAGGGGGAGUGCCUACUUGUUAUCUGACCAUCUCUCCUAGUCCUCACCCCACCUUAAUCUCUGUUAUGCCACAUCCUCAAAUAGUGGCACUUGCUUUGGUCUCUCUCCCAUUCUUAUUUCUGUGCCAGCCUCACAAUAUCCUGUGUCCGUCUCUUGGAUUGCAGUAAAUGAAAAGCAAAGGUUGGGGAUAAGCUAGCAUUUAAAUUAGAGGUUUAACACCCACAGGACUAGAGUGCUUAAACUCACACCUCCACUGCUGUACCCCAGCAGGAUGAACCAAGCUGCUCAUGGGGAUGCAGGAAGAUAAUUGCUCUUGUAAUGCUUUAUAGAGAAUCGUUUGCACUCUUUGAAGGAAAAUAUCUCAUAUUUUGCAUGACUGACACUGGUAUCAGACCCUUUGUGCACAUGGCCACGGGUGCUUGAACCUUAAUGUUACAGCAAAUUACUGGGAUUAAAGGGUAAAAAAACUCCAGUGCUGCCUGAUCUGCACCCAGUUCGUUGUACUCCCUGCCCCUGCUGAAAUCUGCAGCUUCCUUGUGGAAUCAGAGAAUCGCAGGAUUAC